This 73-nucleotide transfer RNA is filed under the name Gemmatales bacterium. Its description in RNAcentral is "tRNA-Arg". It matches the Rfam family "tRNA". Rfam says of the family: Transfer RNA (tRNA) molecules are approximately 80 nucleotides in length. Their secondary structure includes four short double-helical elements and three loops (D, anti-codon, and T loops). The record is from RNAcentral. Lineage: Bacteria; Pseudomonadati; Planctomycetota; Planctomycetia; Gemmatales.
GGGGGCGUAGUUCAAUGGCGUAGAACACCCGACUUCUAAUCGGGCCAUCCGGGUUGGAAUCCCGGCGCCUCCA